This 424-nucleotide ribosomal RNA is filed under the name uncultured bacterium. RNAcentral's name for it is "bacterial SSU rRNA". It matches the Rfam family "Bacterial small subunit ribosomal RNA", at positions 355 to 796 of the family's 1533-position model. The record is from RNAcentral.
UGGGGAAUAUUGGACAAUGGGGGAAACCCUGAUCCAGCCAUGCCGCGUGAGUGAUGAAGGCCUUAGGGUUGUAAAGCUCUUUUACCAGGGAAGAUGAUGACGGUACCUGGAGAAUAAGCACCGGCUAACUUCGUGCCAGCAGCCGCGGUAAUACGAAGGGUGCUAGCGUUGUUCGGAAUUACUGGGCGUAAAGCGUGCGUAGGCGGCGAUUCAAGUCAGGGGUGAAAUGCCAAGGCUCAACCUUGGAACUGCCUUUGAAACUGUAUCGCUGGAGUACUGGAGGGGAUAGCGGAAUUCCUAAUGUAGCGGUGAAAUGCGUAGAUAUUAGGAGGAACACCGGUGGCGAAGGCGGCUAUCUGGACAGUAACUGACGCUGAGGCACGAAAGCGUGGGGAUCAAACAGGAUUAGAUACCCCCGUAGUCC